GUGGGAGUUGAAGUCCAAAACAGCUGGAGAUGGGGUCCAUGUUGGUCCAGGCCUGCUGGGCUGAGGUCUCGCCAAACUAGGAAUGCAAGGGUCCCAUAGCCUUGAGCCAUUCAACGUCCUCGAUGCGCCAUAAGAGGGGAAAGGGGACUGGGUCCGGCUUUGGUCGUCCUGGGGAGGAGCGUCCUUUCUGAGCGCCUUCCAGGAAAGCUACGUGACUGACGGGCAGAGGCGGAACCGGAUCCAAAGCGGGGCGGAGAAAGGCCAAAGGGGACAAAGAGCAGUGAGGUUGGGAGGAGGGGGAGGCACACGGGUGGUGGAAUUUCCCCUGGAAACGAGGAGGAUCCGGAUAUUUUCAGGCAGAGAAAGGUGGUGGAGGGCAUGGGGCGUCUCCUAAGCCUGGCAGUAUCCCACACAUAGGUCCACCCAGAGGAAAAGAGUUCUUGCCAUGUAUCAAUGGCAGCACUGAGCGCAUAGGGAAGCUGAUGAAGAAACACAAACUAUCUACAGAACCACUAGGAAAAUCCAACAAAUGCUACAUUCAGCAAAGGACAAGAGGGAUCCUCUCACCUCUGCAGGAGUCUACCCUAUACCAUGCAGCUGUGGACAAGUCUAUAUCAAGGUCAAGGUUGGCAAAAGCUGGGGCAAACAGUAGGAGCUCACUCCACUCACCCGAUUCAAACUGCCAACCUUUUGGUCAGCAAGUUGAGCAGCUCAGUGGUUUAACCCACUGCACCAUUGGGGGCUACAUAGGCUACAAGUCUAUAUAGGGACCACCAAAGGCAGCAUUGCCCAAACACAAAUCAAGGAACAUGGAAGGCACUACAGACUAACUCAGCCAGAACCAACCUGGACACAGCAUAUUAUUUGAGAACACAGAAAUACUGGACCACACUAACAACCACUACGUCAGACUACACAGCGAAGCCAUUGAAAUCCUCAAGCAUGUGGACUUCAAUUUCAACAGAAAGGAAGAAACCAUGAAAAUGAACAAAAUCUGGCUACCUGUAUUAUAAAAACUCUAAAAUCAGGACAGGAAAUAAAGAACCACACUCUGAAAACAGGGGAAUUCCAGACAUGAAACAAUCAGGGCCAGCUAACACUUCGCAACAAAGGAUUCCCCCAGCCAGGAAUCAGCCAGGCCCUGAAGCUGCAAGGCUAUUCAAUGCUAAUCAAGGUGAUUAAUUGCAACAUUCAUACCUGUCUCAAACAGACAAGAGUUAUUUCUCCCGCCCUGGACCUUCCACAGAUAUGCAAACCUUUCUUGCCUAGUUUCCAAUAUACCUCACAACCUCUGAGGAUGCCUGCCAUAGAUGCAGGAGAGAAUGCUUCUGGAACAUGGCCAUACAGUCUGAAAAACUCACAGCAAUCCAGUAUCCACACACUUUGUGCGUGAUUUUACAUAGGUCGUUUUAGGCCCCUUUCUCCCCCGCUGCAUAAAAUCCACAUUGAACUGGAUUAUAUGGCAGUAUGGACUCAGAUAAGAUAGUUCAAAGCAGAUAUUGUGGAUUAUCUGCCUUGAUAUUCUGGGUUAUAUGGCUGUGUGGAAGAGCCGUUACUUUCAGGUCCUCCACAUCCAUCUGUGGGAAACAUGUUUUAAGAACACCAGCAAGCCAACCUUGAUUUUGGCAUUUAAUACAAGGAAUUGGAUUUUCCUAUAUCAGUAUAGGCAGUCUCCAAGUUACAAACAUCCUACUUACAAACCACUCAUGAUUAAGAAUGGGGCUGAGACAACAGGAAAUGAACAAAAUUACUCCUCAGAAGGGAAAUUCACUUCUGAAAGAGUUAUUAAGGGGAAAAAGUCUCCACUGAGGCUUUAUCUCCAAUUCUGUUUCCACAACAAGGCAUUUCCCCCCAAAAUCCAAUGAUAGAAAGUGAGGUGAAAUCUCAACAGGGCACAGAGCAAAACAAAUACUGUGAAGGGGGGGGGGGGGCGUUAAGCCUUUCCUAUGCUAUCCAAAGCUAAUAGUUAUGGCUGGAGUUAUAUUUAAAAAUGUACAUGUUCCAAUUUACAAAUAAAUUUAAAAACAAA
Molecule: long non-coding RNA, 2029 nt
Organism: Anolis carolinensis (green anole)
Lineage: Eukaryota; Metazoa; Chordata; Lepidosauria; Squamata; Anolidae
Exons: 2
Source: RefSeq, a predicted model, not a curated record